Molecule: ribosomal RNA, 439 nt
Filed under: uncultured bacterium
Lineage: Bacteria
Description: partial 16S ribosomal RNA
Rfam family: Bacterial small subunit ribosomal RNA
Source: RNAcentral
CUACGGGAGGCAGCAGUGAGGAAUAUUGCACAAUGGGGGGAACCCUGAUGCAGCAACGCCGCGUGGAGGAUGACGCAUUUCGGUGUGUAAACUCCUUUUAUAUGUCAAGAAAAUGACGGUAGCAUAUGAAUAAGCACCGGCUAACUCCGUGCCAGCAGCCGCGGUAAUACGGAGGGUGCAAGCGUUACUCGGAAUCACUGGGCGUAAAGGACGCGUAGGCGGGUUGGAAAGUCAGGUGUGAAAUCCUACAGCUUAACUGUAGAACUGCACUUGAAACUUCUAAUCUAGAGUAUGGGAGGGGGAGAUGGAAUUAGUAGUGUAGGGGUAACAUCCGUAGAUAUCACUAGGAAUACCUAAAGCGAAGGCGAUCUCCUGGAACAUUACUGACGCUAAGGCGUGAAAGCGUGGGGAGCAAACAGGAUUAGAUACCCGGGUAGUC